UUACACAUGCAAGUCGAGCGGGGAAGGGUAGCUUGCUACCUGACCUAGCGGCGGACGGGUGAGUAAUGCUUAGGAAUCUGCCUAUUAGUGGGGGACAACAUUCCGAAAGGAAUGCUAAUACCGCAUACGCCCUACGGGGGAAAGCAGGGGAUCUUCGGACCUUGCGCUAAUAGAUGAGCCUAAGUCAGAUUAGCUAGUUGGUGGGGUAAAGGCCUACCAAGGCGACGAUCUGUAGCGGGUCUGAGAGGAUGAUCCGCCACACUGGGACUGAGACACGGCCCAGACUCCUACGGGAGGCAGCAGUGGGGAAUAUUGGACAAUGGGCGAAAGCCUGAUCCAGCCAUGCCGCGUGUGUGAAGAAGGCCUUUUGGUUGUAAAGCACUUUAAGCGAGGAGGAGGCUACUUGGAUUAAUACUCUAGGAUAGUGGACGUUACUCGCAGAAUAAGCACCGGCUAACUCUGUGCCAGCAGCCGCGGUAAUACAGAGGGUGCGAGCGUUAAUCGGAUUUACUGGGCGUAAAGCGUGCGUAGGCGGCUUUUUAAGUCGGAUGUGAAAUCCCUGAGCUUAACUUAGGAAUUGCAUUCGAUACUGGGAAGCUAGAGUAUGGGAGAGGAUGGUAGAAUUCCAGGUGUAGCGGUGAAAUGCGUAGAGAUCUGGAGGAAUACCGAUGGCGAAGGCAGCCAUCUGGCCUAAUACUGA
This 700-nucleotide ribosomal RNA is filed under the name uncultured bacterium. RNAcentral describes it as "bacterial SSU rRNA". It matches the Rfam family "Bacterial small subunit ribosomal RNA", at positions 49 to 743 of the family's 1533-position model. The record is from RNAcentral.